This 253-nucleotide ribosomal RNA is filed under the name uncultured prokaryote. RNAcentral's name for it is "partial 16S ribosomal RNA". It matches the Rfam family "Bacterial small subunit ribosomal RNA", at positions 525 to 777 of the family's 1533-position model. The record is from RNAcentral.
ACGGAGGGUGCAAGCGUUAUCCGGAUUCACUGGGUUUAAAGGGUGCGUAGGUGGGCUAGUAAGUCCGUGGUGAAAUCCCUGAGCUUAACUUGGGAACUGCCAUUGAUACUAUUAGUCUUGAAUAUCGUGGAGGUAAGCGGAAUAUGUCAUGUAGCGGUGAAAUGCUUAGAUAUGACAUAGAACACCAAUUGCGAAGGCAGCUCACUACACAAAUAUUGACGCUGAGGCACGAAAGCGUGGGGAUCAAACAGGA